Molecule: ribosomal RNA, 400 nt
Filed under: uncultured bacterium
Lineage: Bacteria
Description: bacterial SSU rRNA
Rfam family: Bacterial small subunit ribosomal RNA
Source: RNAcentral
UAGGGAAUAUUGCGCAAUGGACGAAAGUCUGACGCAGCCACGCCGCGUGAGUGAGGAAGGCCUUCGGGUUGUAAAGCUCUGUCGUCCGGGAAAAACGGCUAUUCGGGGAAAGUUCGAGUAGCGUGAUGGUACCGGAGAAGGAAGCACCGGCAAACUCUGUGCCAGCAGCCGCGGUAAUACAGAGGGUGCAAGCGUUGUUCGGAAUUACUGGGCGUAAAGCGUGCGUAGUCGGUAUUGAGAGUCGCGGGUGAAAUCCCAGGGCUUAACCCUGGAACUGCCUGCGAGACCUCAGUACUAGAGUGUGAGAGGGGAUAGUGGAAUACCAAGUGUAGCGGUGAAAUGCGUAGAGAUUUGGUAGAACACCGGUGGCGAAGGCGGCUAUCUGGCUCACAACUGACGA